Molecule: long non-coding RNA, 230 nt
Filed under: Gorilla gorilla gorilla (western lowland gorilla)
Lineage: Eukaryota; Metazoa; Chordata; Mammalia; Primates; Hominidae
Description: lncRNA (ENSGGOG00000044645.1)
Source: RNAcentral
UGUGGAUUCAAGAGAUUGGAUGGCAAUGCUGCUAUGGUUACCAGGGUUUUUGUCUCAGAUUUCAAGAUUGUGGACUUCACCAAAGCAUUCUUAUGUGGAAAUGACAUCUUGAAACCUUAUCUGUUCUCCCUGCCAACAGAAACUGCCUACUCAGAGUAAGCUUUUAUAGACAUAAUGGAGCUCACUUACAACAGCAUCUGUUCUGAAAUAUUCUGCACAGCUAAGAGGGU